UUACGGCCAUAUCACGUUGAAACACCGGUUCUCGUAUGAUUAACGAAGUUAAGCAACGUCGAACCUGGUCAGUACCUAGAUGGGAAACCGCUUGGGAAUACCAGUAUCUG
Acanthosepion pharaonis is the source of this 110-nucleotide non-coding RNA. NCBI's taxonomy places the organism in Eukaryota, Metazoa, Mollusca, Cephalopoda, Sepiida, Sepiidae. The record is from the annotation of a GenBank genome assembly.